Mastomys coucha (southern multimammate mouse) is the source of this 805-nucleotide long non-coding RNA. RefSeq lists it as uncharacterized. The transcript is spliced from 4 exons. The record is from RefSeq and is a predicted model, not a curated record. NCBI's taxonomy places the organism in Eukaryota, Metazoa, Chordata, Mammalia, Rodentia, Muridae.
GGACGAGGGAACUGGGCCAAAACAUUCUAUAGCGCCAGUGCUCUGAGCAGCAGCCUCUGUAGCAGCAGAGCAGGAAAAAGCCACACAGAGAAAAACAGUUUCUUCAGAAGAAGACGAAAGUCCAGAACUGCAUAAAUUUCCCGUGGCUUUUCAAGAGCUGAAGAAAGACUUCAGGCUGAGUCUCUGUGUCUGUCAGGAGGGGAAAGGGGGAAGACAGUGGAAGCCCCUGCCUCACAGGGCAGCAGGCACAGAGCAGAGGCCUUUAAAGAAGCACGGAGUGGCUAGUCAGCUCUUCAUGGCCUAGCAAAUUAGACACGCAUCCCAAAAGACAUCCAGAGCAAAUCAGAAUGCAGCCCAGUGAUUAAUCGCAGAGCUGGAUUCUGCUGCCCUCAGCCUCUGAGGAUGUCCUGUACAGAUUAACCUCCGCCACCGAGUUCUGUCUGAGGAAGUCGAUGACGAAAUGCUUCACCUAUCACAAGACUGAUCCUGGCUGUCAUGAGGCAUCACUCUGGAACUGCAAGCUUUCGUUUUCAAAGCCCUGGCAGGGCUUCAGGAGCUGUAAACCCUCCCACUGUACAAAGGAAAAACCAUAAAUUGAUGACAUCUGUUUGUGACUUUAAGCAAGGGGCAGAUUCAGGACUGUGCAAGCAACACCUGGUAACCUUCAUCUUUGCACCACAGCACUCAGCUCCCAAUUAACCCUAGAUCUACACAUCCAGCUGAGUGCCUCCAUCCAUUUCUACUGGGGAGCUGUGUGCUAUGUGUCAUUAGAAAUGAACUCUGAUCUGGAGCCGGUCCCUCUGCA